ACCUCACCGGGCGCGAAGCUGACCAAGACACGCCUCAAUCUUCUGCUUACUGCGAGUGCAGCAGGCCGAAGAAAAGCAGCGGUUACCUGCGCAACAGACAAAGCCAGUCAUCCGCUCUCCGCAAUUCCCUUGUGGCACCCCUCGUCGACCUCAGCCGCCUCGUCGCGUGAGUGAUCCCUUUGACUCGGCGCGCGCGCGUCACAGCCUUCGCAUUUCAUCUCGUGCGUCGCUUACAUCGCGGCCCCUCUCGCAGACCCCUUCAUGGCAGCGAUGGCAUGCAGAAAAACGAGCAACACGUACAACGCUUAUGCUAAAUAGCACGGCAGAGGCCAGGGCUGGCAUGCAGAGCCAGCAGAGGGGGCAGUGCGAACAGACGUGUGCGUUGAAGACGUUAAUCCGGCCUUGGUGGAGGUGGCGAAGUCCGCAUCGUUCCUCGGCGAGGCUUUGCUUCUUGGUCUCCUCAAGGUAUACCAUCCUCGGCUCGUAUUCGUGGCUGCUUUCUCACCCCUUUUCCACGAUUUGCUCUGACGCAUCGCGAUGCACGUCGCAUGGGAGAAAGGUAAAGCGGUAGUGCGUCGUGGUGGUGGUGGGUAGAGAGUGCAAAAUGACGACGCCGGUUUCCCCAGAACGUCUAUUUCCUCUCGUCGCCGUGUUCAGUGGAAAGCCGAUAGUCUCUUGAGCAGCUAAUCUUGAUUGCGCAAGUGACUUCGUCUGCUUCUCAGGUGACGGCCGUCUCCCAGAAGUGAAAGCACGUACGAGUUC
Molecule: unclassified non-coding RNA, 762 nt
Filed under: Leishmania donovani
Lineage: Eukaryota; Euglenozoa; Kinetoplastea; Trypanosomatida; Trypanosomatidae
Description: gene:unknown
Source: RNAcentral